GACGUUUCCAACGCCGACUAUGGACUUUAUUCCAGUCGUAGAUAUAACAAAGUCCGAUCAAUUUCUAUUCCUUUUCUGUUUAUACUUCUACUGCAAUGCGCUCGUCGGAUUCCACUUACGAGCCUUACCGCCACACGUCCGUUGUCUCUCGUGUCCGGCCCAAGAAUGUCUACUGGAAUUUCGAUUUUCCCCUCCAGCCUCGUCGUAGAUUAUUGUUUUCACCUUACCUCCUGGUGGGCUAAGGUGUUAAAAAAUGAAGAAUUUUGCCAUAUUUAAAGAACUUUUCCAUGCAGGAUGACUAUGUACGGAAUGAUUUUAAUA
Long non-coding RNA from Centruroides sculpturatus (bark scorpion), 321 nucleotides. RefSeq lists it as uncharacterized. The record is from RefSeq and is a predicted model, not a curated record. NCBI's taxonomy places the organism in Eukaryota, Metazoa, Arthropoda, Arachnida, Scorpiones, Buthidae. The transcript has 3 exons.